AGAAAAAUGAAGAAAAUGAAGUCGUCGCAAAUGCAUCUAACCAGCUGGGAAAAAUUGCAAAUCAAAAAGUUGCAAACAUAAAUCGUUACCGGAAUCGCGAGCGAGUUGGCAAGGCAUUUUCAAAACUAGGAGCAAACAUCACAUCAAAAGUAACAGGCAGCUUCUCAAAGGCUACUGACAGUACCGAUUGCAAUGUCAUGUGAUGGUUAUCACAUAAAACAGAUCUGGCAAUUGCUUUAAAAUUAGAAGUUAAUUAUUAAGUGAAAUGUUAUUUCGUGUUCAGUACUGAUCAUUUGUAGCAUUAUUAAUGUGUGCAUGCAUGCGUACAAAUUGACUAUAUGCCAUAUUGUAUCGUAGUACGCAUUAUUAGUACUCUAGCAAGAUAUUGUAUUGUAUUAUGCCUUCAUUGUCUUAUAAAUAAACAUCAUCUUGAAUUUUGUAAACAACUUUGUUGUAGUAGUUCAAGAGUAGUUUAA
Long non-coding RNA from Juglans microcarpa x Juglans regia, 476 nucleotides. RefSeq lists it as uncharacterized. The record is from RefSeq and is a predicted model, not a curated record. NCBI's taxonomy places the organism in Eukaryota, Viridiplantae, Streptophyta, Magnoliopsida, Fagales, Juglandaceae. The transcript is spliced from 3 exons.